AUGGCUUACCCAGGCCCUUGCCCAUCACUUACCAGCCCAGCCCGCGGCUCCCCGGCUCUGUGCUGCCCCCAGCUCGCUGCUUUGCCUUCGUCCCUCUGCAGCCCCCUCCCCAUCUCCGGCCGUGCUCCGGGUCCCGUCCCCCCCCUCCCCGUUUCUCCGCGGGGACCCCCAGCGCUCCCCAAGCCCCGGCCCCAUCCCUUUUCUUUCAGCCUUCAACUUUUGCCACGUUGCACUCCCCGCUUUUCUUUCUUUUUUUUUUUUUUUUCUUUUUUUUUUUCUCCGCUUUUCUGCCUUUUCCUCCGUUUUUCUGCCUUAUUUUCCUCCGCUUUUCUGCCCUUUUCUCCGCUUUUCUGCUUUUUUUCCCCCGCUUUUCUGCCUUUUUCUCCGCUUUUCUGCCUUUUUCUCCACCGCCCCAGCCCGGCUUUCCGGCCGCCCACUUUCCCCCCUGUCCCUUUGUCCCCUCUCCGCCUGCCCCUUUCCGCCUGGGCGGGUGGCCCCCGGCGGCCCGGAGUUUCCAUGGGGAUGGAGGCGGCCUCCGGGGCUCUCCGGUUGCAGGAAAAAAAAGCACAAAGAGAGGGGGGGGGACAGCGUAAGGAUGGGGGGGUGGCGAGGGGGACCCGGCAGAAGGGGCCGGUGGAGGAGCGGCCGCAGCCGGGUGGGCGCAAAGAGCAUCACUGCCCGGCUUUUGGCUUAAAUUCACGCUUUUGGCAUUGUUCUUUUUUCUUUCCCGAGGAAUAAAAAAUGGGCCCGGAGAAAGGAAAAAGAGAAAAUUGCCGAAGGGAAGGAGAAAGGCACAGCUGCUUCUGCUCAGCACCGUGUGCUUAUGCCAGGCUGGGGAAGGGGGGCUUUGGCCACCUCCAGCAAAGAGGGUGCAGAAAAUCAUUUUGGCCUCAGGGGCAUCAGCAGCACAUCCAGAUCAGCACAUCCCAUAUUAAGCAUUUGUCCCCAUGGAGGGGAUUCAAGUGUCACUGAUUUGUUGCAGAGCAAAGAGGAAAGUUUGGACCGUGCCAACAUUUCUGGAGGCUGGACAGGAUUCACAGGCACAAGCCCGUCCGUAUCACACCUCUCCCAUGCAAAUUAAUUACGUUAUCUCUCACUCAAGGGGGAUAUUUUUUUAUCAGGCUGUGAGUUUGGCUAUAAAGGUAAUUAACACCAGCUUCCCUUACAGUCGGCUCCUCUCAGCUGCAUUCCAUCCCUGCCUGCAGUAGUUGUGUUCUCUGCCCUCUUCCUUUGGCUCUCCACUCUCACGGUCCUUGCUGGCAGGCACUGAUAUGGAAGUGAACCUGAAUUACACCCUGCGAGGCUGCAGACCUGUAACAGGGAUGGCUUUUAAUCUGGAAAGGCACAAAAUUCACGUCAAGACACCAGAACGCAUUAAAACCGCAUAAAAAAAAUGAAGCAAAUUGUAAUUAUAAAAGGACAAUCAUUGAUUUUACACUUAAUUCUAACAACA
This 1453-nucleotide long non-coding RNA is filed under the name Anas platyrhynchos platyrhynchos (common mallard). Its description in RNAcentral is "lncRNA (ENSAPLG00000020165.1)". Lineage: Eukaryota; Metazoa; Chordata; Aves; Anseriformes; Anatidae. The record is from RNAcentral.